Long non-coding RNA from Heterocephalus glaber (naked mole-rat), 1054 nucleotides. RefSeq lists it as uncharacterized. The record is from RefSeq and is a predicted model, not a curated record. NCBI's taxonomy places the organism in Eukaryota, Metazoa, Chordata, Mammalia, Rodentia, Bathyergidae.
GUGGGAGAGUCUAAGGGUGAGGAUGAGGCCGCGUCGCCGGCCGCUUUGGGGGCGCUGUGCUUGGGGGCUCAGGCAGGAGCCCGGAGCCCGGCGGGAGGCACUGGCGGCUGCUGCGGAGGCCUUCGCAGGUCUCACGUCCUUUGCGAAUCCGGCUGCCUGGGGCUCAAGGCAACAGACUUGCUUUAAGCAAGGUAGCUACAGCUUUGGGGGCUCUAAGCAUCCCCCGGAGCGAGUGCAGGCUUGAGGCAUCCAACUCCCCUCUGAUUUCUGCACAGUUACAGAGGGAGUGUGUGCUAGAAAGGGCUUUGCUGCCCCGCGCAUUAUCUUGCCAUUUUCCCGUCCGGAUGCUGCAUAAACGAUCACCUGAUCAAUUGACUGAGUCGCCGAAUGAUAGAAGGAAUAAACAUUUGCCCUGGAUAAAAAUGUUCUUGGGGCUGACAAAUGCUAAGAAGAUCUGAAAUCGACUUGAAGAUCCCUAUACUGAAGUACAUUCAUUACAAAUAUGAUUUUAGCAAUUGUAAUACAUAGGCAGCAUACUUUUCAUUUAAGAUCUGAAUAUGAUGCCCAAGCUUACUUACCUCAUUUGCUAUUCAAAGAAAUGCAUUUAAGGAGUCAGGAAACUGGACUUCAAGUAGAAAAAAUAUGACAUUAAAAUUUUUAUUUUAUGCUGGGUAUGGGGAUGCAUGCCUGUAAUCUCAGCAUUUAGGAGGCUGAGGCAGAAAGAUUGCCAUUAGUUCCAGGCCAACCUGGACUAUGUAAUGACACCCUGUCUCAAAAAACAACAACAACAACAACAACAAAAAAAACCAAUUUAUAUGUGAAACAAAUUUAAGGUUGUUGUUCUACAGUAUUUGAAAAAAAGACAAUUUGACCCAUAAUUCCUAACUCUUAAUGUAAUUUGUAGUAUUUAAAAGUUACAUUAAACUGGGAUUAAUGCCUGUAAUCCCAGCUGAGGUAGGAGAAUUGCUGAGUUCAAGGCAAGCCUGGACUACACAGCAAAACCCUGUCUCAAAAAGCCAAAAUAAAUAAAUAAAUGUUACAUUUAAUAAUUUAA